This 1073-nucleotide ribosomal RNA is filed under the name uncultured eukaryote. RNAcentral describes it as "SSU rRNA". It matches the Rfam family "Eukaryotic small subunit ribosomal RNA", at positions 577 to 1674 of the family's 1831-position model. The record is from RNAcentral.
CGGUAAUUCCAGCUCCAAUAGCGUAUAUUAAAGUUGUUGCGGUUAAAAAGCUCGUAGUUGGAUUUCUGUGAAAGGCAAGCCGUCCGCACUAUGUGCGUGUAUGUGUUCUGACUUUUGCAUCCUCCUGAAGAACAGUUCUGUGAUUAAUUUCGCGGUCUGGAAUUCAGGACUUUUACUUUGAGGAAAUUAGAGUGUUCACGGCAAGCAAACGCUUUGAAUACAUUAGCAUGGAAUAAUAAUAUAGGACCUUGGUACUAUUUUGUUGGUUUCUAGAACUAAGGUAAUGAUAAAUAGGGACAGUUGGGGGCAUUCGUAUUAAGACGUCAGAGGUGGAAUUCUUGGAUUGUCUUACGACGAACUACUGCGAAAGCAUUUGCCAAGGAUGUUUUCAUUGAUCAAGAACGAAAGUAUGGGGAUCGAAGACGAUUAGAUACCGUCGUAGUCUAUACCAUAAACUAUGCCAACUAGAGAUUGGUGGUCGUAUUUUAUAUGACUCCAUCAGCACCUUAUGAGAAAUCAAAGUCUUUGGGUUCCGGGGGGAGUAUGGUCGCAAGGCUGAAACUUAAAGGAAUUGACGGAAGGGCACCACCAGGAGUGGAGCCUGCGGCUUAAUUUGACUCAACACGGGAAAACUUACCAGGUCCAGACAUAGUAAGGAUUGACAGAUUGAUAGCUCUUUCUUGAUUCUAUGGGUGGUGGUGCAUGGCCGUUCUUGGUUGGUGGAGUGAUUUGUCUGCUUUAUUGCGUUAACGAACGAGACCUUAGCCUGCUAAAUAGUAUCUCGUAUCUUCGGAUAUUAGAAUUACUUCUUAGAGGGACUUUGUGUAUCAAGCACAAGGAAGUUUGAGGCAAUAACAGGUCUGUGAUGCCCUUAGAUGUUCUGGGCUGCACGCGCGCUACACUGAUGCGUUCAAUAAGUAUAGAACCUUGUCCGAUAGGAUUGGGUAAUCUUUUGAAAACGCAUCGUGAUGGGGAUAGAUUAUUGUAAUUAUUAGUCUUCAACGAGGAAUUCCUAGUAAGGGUGAGUCAUCAGCUCAUCCUGACUACGUCCCUGCCCCUUGUACACACCGCCC